RNAcentral lists this ribosomal RNA (398 nucleotides) under uncultured bacterium. RNAcentral describes it as "bacterial SSU rRNA". It matches the Rfam family "Bacterial small subunit ribosomal RNA", at positions 355 to 769 of the family's 1533-position model. The record is from RNAcentral.
UUAGGAAUCUUGCGCAAUGGGCGAAAGCCUGACGCAGCAACGCCGCGUGAGGGAUGACGGUUUUCGGAUUGUAAACCUCUUUCAGCAGGAACGAAAUUGACGGUACCUGCAGAAGAAGCUCCGGCCAACUACGUGCCAGCAGCCGCGGUAAUACGUAGGGAGCAAGCGUUGUCCGGAUUUAUUGGGCGUAAAGAGCUCGUAGGCGGCUUAGAAAGUCGGGUGUGAAACCUCCAGGCUCAACCUGGAGACGCCACUCGAUACUUCUAUGGCUUGAGUUCGGUAGGGGUAAGCGGAAUUCCUGGUGUAGCGGUGAAAUGCGCAGAUAUCAGGAGGAACACCGACGGCGAAGGCAGCUUACUGGGCCGAUACUGACGCUGAGGAGCGAAAGCGUGGGGAGC